UACAGAGGUCUCGAGCGUUGUUCGGAUUCAUUGGGCGUAAAGGGUGCGUAGGUGGCUAGGUAAGUCGGAUGUGAAAGCCCAGGGCUCAGCCCUGGAAGUGCGCUAGAAACUGCGAGGCUCGAGUGCCGGAGGGGAGAGUGGAAUUCCUGGUGUAGCGGUGAAAUGCGUAGAUAUCGUAAGGAAGACCAGUGGCGAAGGCGAAUCUCUGGACAGUUACUGACACUGAGGCUCGAAGGCCAGGGGAGCAAACGGG
Molecule: ribosomal RNA, 253 nt
Filed under: uncultured bacterium
Lineage: Bacteria
Description: partial 16S ribosomal RNA
Rfam family: Bacterial small subunit ribosomal RNA
Source: RNAcentral